CCUACGGGUGGCAGCAGUGGGGGAUAUUGCACAAUGGGGGGAACCCUGAUGCAGCGACGCCGCGUGGGUGAAGGAGCGUUUCGGCGCGUAAAGCCCUAUCGGCAGGGAAGAAGAUGACGGUACCUGACCAAGAAGCAUCGGCUAACUCCGUGCCAGCAGCCGCGGUAAUACGGAGGAUGCGAGCGUUAUCCGGAUUUAUUGGGUUUAAAGGGUGCGCAGGCGGUCUGUUAAGUCAGCGGUCAAAGCCCGGGGCUCAACCCCGGACCGCCGUUGAAACUGGCAGUCUCGAGUUGGAGAGAAGUAUGCGGAAUGCGCGGUGUAGCGGUGAAAUGCAUAGAUAUCGCGCAGAACUCCGAUUGCGAAGGCAGCAUGCCGGCUCCACACUGACGCUGAGGCACGAAAGCGUGGGUAUCGAACAGGAUUAGAUACCCGUGUAGUC
Molecule: ribosomal RNA, 439 nt
Filed under: uncultured bacterium
Lineage: Bacteria
Description: partial 16S ribosomal RNA
Rfam family: Bacterial small subunit ribosomal RNA
Source: RNAcentral